AGUGAACGCUGGCGGCAGGCCUAAUACAUGCAAGUCGAACGGCAGCACAGCAGAGCUUGCUCUGUGGGUGUAGCGUGGCGGGCGGGUGAGGCAUAUAUGUGAAUCUGCUAAGACGCGGGGGAAACCUUAUGGAAACGGACGCUAAUACGGCAAACACUCUGAGGGGGAUGGCUGGGGAGUGAAAGACGGGCCUGGUUUGGCUUAGAGAUUGUUCCGUGCUGGAUUAGCUAGUUGGUAGGGUAACGGCUCACCAAGGCAACGAUGGAUAGCAGGUCUGAGAGGGUGAUCGGCCACACUGGGACUGAGACACGGCCCAGACUCCUACGGGAGGCAGCAGUAGGGAAUAUUCGACAAUGGGCGCAAGCCUGACGCAGCCAUGCCGCGUGAGUGAAGAAGGUCCUCGGAUUGUAAAGCUCUGUUGUCCGGAAAGAAAAGCAUUCUGUUAAUCCCCGCGUAUCCUGACGGUACCGGAAGAAUAAGCACCGGCUAACUUCGUG
This 497-nucleotide ribosomal RNA is filed under the name uncultured bacterium. RNAcentral's name for it is "partial 16S ribosomal RNA". It matches the Rfam family "Bacterial small subunit ribosomal RNA", at positions 29 to 507 of the family's 1533-position model. The record is from RNAcentral.